GAUGAACGCUGGCGGCGUGCCUAAUACAUGCAAGUCGAGCGAACAGACGAGGAGCUUGCUCCUCUGACGUUAGCGGCGGACGGGUGAGUAACACGUGGAUAACCUACCUAUAAGACUGGGAUAACUUCGGGAAACCGGAGCUAAUACCGGAUAAUAUAUUGAACCGCAUGGUUCAAUAGUGAAAGACGGUUUUGCUGUCACUUAUAGAUGGAUCCGCGCCGCAUUAGCUAGUUGGUAAGGUAACGGCUUACCAAGGCAACGAUGCGUAGCCGACCUGAGAGGGUGAUCGGCCACACUGGAACUGAGACACGGUCCAGACUCCUACGGGAGGCAGCAGUAGGGAAUCUUCCGCAGUGGGCGAAAGCCUGACGGAGCAACGCCGCGUGAAUGAUGAAGGUCUUCGGAUCGUAAAACUCUGUUAUUAGGGAAGAACAAAUGUGUAAGUAACUAUGCACGUCUUGACGGUACCUAAUCAGAAAGCCACGGCUAACUACGUG
RNAcentral lists this ribosomal RNA (497 nucleotides) under uncultured bacterium. RNAcentral's name for it is "partial 16S ribosomal RNA". It matches the Rfam family "Bacterial small subunit ribosomal RNA", at positions 28 to 507 of the family's 1533-position model. The record is from RNAcentral.